UACGAAGGGGACUAGCGUUGUUCGGAAUUACUGGGCGUAAAGCGCACGUAGGCGGAUUUGUAAGUCAGGGGUGAAAUCCCGGGGCUCAACCUCGGAACUGCCUUUGAUACUGCAAAUCUCGAGUCCGAUAGAGGUGGGUGGAAUUCCUAGUGUAGAGGUGAAAUCCGUAGAUAUUAGGAAGAACACCGGUGGCGAAGGCGGCCCACUGGAUCGGUACUGACGCUGAGGUGCGAAAGCGUGGGGAGCAAACAGG
This 253-nucleotide ribosomal RNA is filed under the name uncultured bacterium. Its description in RNAcentral is "partial 16S ribosomal RNA". It matches the Rfam family "Bacterial small subunit ribosomal RNA", at positions 524 to 776 of the family's 1533-position model. The record is from RNAcentral.